GGAGUGGGAUGAACGUCAAGUCCUCAUCGGCCUUUAUGUCUAGGGCUACACACGUACUACAAUGGCCGGUACAAAGGGCAGCCACUCAGCGAUGAGGCGCUAAUCCCAUAAAGCCGGUCUCAGUCCGGAUCGCAGUCUGCAACUCGACUGCGUGAAGUUGGAAUCGCUAGUAAUCGUAGAUCAGCAUGCUACGGUGAAUACGUUCCCGGGCCUU
Molecule: ribosomal RNA, 214 nt
Filed under: uncultured Desulfovibrio sp.
Lineage: Bacteria; Pseudomonadati; Thermodesulfobacteriota; Desulfovibrionia; Desulfovibrionales; Desulfovibrionaceae
Description: partial 16S ribosomal RNA
Rfam family: Bacterial small subunit ribosomal RNA
Source: RNAcentral